GAAGAUUAUGGUUGUGGCUUAUGAAGUUUUAGAGCAUCUUAAGGAGAUGGAAUUUGUGGAAGGCAAAGUUAGUUAAUAUUUGUGUGGAAAUAAAUAGAUAUCUUUCUGGCUAUUUUUUUUUUUUGGGAUCUUGUUAAUAAUUGUUGUAAUUCAAGAUAUUAUUGAAUAUAGUUAAAGUUUGAGCUAUUUGAUGUUGUUGUGAGAAUUUUUUGAGCUGUCUAAUGUUUUU
RNAcentral lists this long non-coding RNA (229 nucleotides) under Citrus sinensis (sweet orange). Its description in RNAcentral is "long non-coding RNA (CSIN_LNC005453)". The record is from RNAcentral. Lineage: Eukaryota; Viridiplantae; Streptophyta; Magnoliopsida; Sapindales; Rutaceae.